AGUGAACGCUGGCGGUAGGCCCAACACAUGCAAGUCGAACGGCAGCACAGUAAGAGCUUGCUCUUACGGGUGGCGAGUGGCGGACGGGUGAGGAACACAUCGGAAUCUACUUUUUCGUGGGGGAUAACGUAGGGAAACUUACGCUAAUACCGCAUACGACCUACGGGUGAAAGCAGGGGAUCUUCGGACCUUGCGCGAUUGAAUGAGCCGAUGUCGGAUUAGCUAGUUGGCGGGGUAAAGGCCCACCAAGGCGACGAUCCGUAGCUGGUCUGAGAGGAUGAUCAGCCACACUGGAACUGAGACACGGUCCAGACUCCUACGGGAGGCAGCAGUGGGGAAUAUUGGACAAUGGGCGCAAGCCUGAUCCAGCCAUACCGCGUGGGUGAAGAAGGCCUUCGGGUUGUAAAGCCCUUUUGUUGGGAAAGAAAAGCAGCAGGUUAAUACCCCGCUGUUCUGACGGUACCCAAAGAAUAAGCACCGGCUAACUUCGUG
This 492-nucleotide ribosomal RNA is filed under the name uncultured bacterium. RNAcentral's name for it is "partial 16S ribosomal RNA". It matches the Rfam family "Bacterial small subunit ribosomal RNA", at positions 29 to 507 of the family's 1533-position model. The record is from RNAcentral.